CAGUGCUGCAGGGAAAGGAGGUGGGGCCAGUAGGGGGAGGUGGGCUCGGGCCUCGUCUUUCCGCUUUUCGGCCAAUCCGUGCAGCGCCCCUGACAGAGACGCGGAGCCCGGUGCAGCAGACAGUUCAACUAUUUUCCCCUUUUCUGCCACGUCCCAACCAUUGACGCGAGCCCACUCUUCGAGUUGCGAUUGGGUGUGUCCAUUUUCCCCCCUGCAGAGGCUGCUGGCAUUUAUUGGACAGCACUGCCUAGGGGGCGGGGCUUACGUGCUCGCCCCGCCUCCACCGCGGCGCGAGGGGCGGGGCACGCCGCUGCCGCCUCUGCUUCCGCCGCCGCCGCCUGCCGCUGCGCGCUCGGCGGGGGAGGAGUCGGAGGCGGAGAAGAAGGCGGUGGUGGCGGGUGGCGGAUCGAGCGCCGUUCGCGUUCCGGAGCCGCUUCGCGUUUCGGUUUACAAGCAUUUUGGAAUUGACUGUUGCAUUUUUUAAGGAAAUAAUAGGCCGGAUUUCUCCAUCAGUAUCCAGUUAAGCUAUUGUUUUUGUUGUUGUGGUUGUGGUUGUUUUCCCUGGUCCGUUGACCUAGAGCUAAAUCUUUGCUGCUGCUUUAUUCCAAACUGACUUGACUUGCACAUUACAAAAAAGGGUAGGAUGAGCCAAGGACCUUCUUAUUUGUAGCACAUCUGAAUCUGAAAUCUUAACUGAGAGGUAAUUUUAAAGAGUAUUUUUACAUUUGUUAUUUUUACUUAAUAUUCUUUCAUCACAGUUUGUCUUUAUUGGUUGCCCUUUAAUCCUCUUUCCCCCUUAGCCAGUUAUACUUCAGGUAAAUCAGAAAAUUUUUAUAGGUCUAAUGUGUUGGGUGUAUGCCCAUUCAGUUCAUUCUUCACAUACUUCUCUCUAUAUAUUUUCUUUCUAAAAAAUAGAAUAUGUUGAGAGCGUAACAGUUUAUAAACAUUUAGUGAAGUAGAGGUGUUACCAUAAACAAAUUGGAAAAAUAAUAUUUCAAUUAAAUGUGAAAUUUUUUAUCUCAUGGUCUGUUUCUGAUCUAUUUUGCUUCGAUCAUAUUUUAAUGUUAUUUUUGCUAUAACAAUUCUGAAUUUAUCUUUUCAUUUAUUUAUUUAUUUAUUUUUGUCUUUUUGUGACAGGAUCUCUCUCUGCAGUUCAAACUGGCCUUGAGCUCAUUUUGUAGUCCUGAUUGGUUUCGAACUCGCAAAGAUCCUCCUGUCUCAGCCUCCCAAGUGCUGGGAUUACAGGUGUGCACCACCAUGCCCAGCAAUUCUGAAUUUAUUAUUCCUUUUAUAAACCAAAAAACCUCCUCAUACCAGUCAUUACAUCAGAUUACCUUUUGGUGUUACCAGAAGUAGCCGACCCAUUUUACAUCAGAAAUUCGAUGUAUUUUUAAAAUUGCUUUAUGUUUAGACCUUAUUACUACUUCUGCAGUGCCUUAUUCAUAGAAUUUGAAAGCAAGUGAUACUAUUUACUGUCAGCCUCUGAAAUUGGAAGCUACAGGUUGCUAUGUAAGAUAGUUUUUCAGGAUAUCACAUUCUAUUGGAGAAAGGAGCACAAAAUUGUGUCAGUUAUUCAGCCACCAUUUUGAUACAUACUGUGCUAGACAAUGUAGUAAUAGAUGCAUUGGACUCUGGUAAAAAGAAAAUUGAAACACUUUAAUGAGGGAGGUAUGUAUCUUGUAUCUGUACUUUUCUUUCUGUUCCCCUAAAAAUUAUAUAGCCUGUCUAGAGCUGCUGACAUAAUAUCCUAGAGUGAUUGUGAUGACCUUUAGGUUAGUAAUUGAAAGAUCUAGAAUUAAAACUUCUUUAAUUCACUCCUUUAAUUUUGAGCAACAAAUUUAUAUAAUUUUUAAAAAUUAAUAGGAAGUAUAUAAAAUUUCAAGCAUUUGAAAUGAACAAGUCUCGCAGAGUAUACAGGAGUCAGUUGUGUUAUUUGUUAGGUGGAUAGUACAAGAAACAGACUAAUUCAGUAGUCUGUUCAGGUUUAAAUGUAGUCCUGUAACUGAUGAAUUAACCAUUUUAAGCUUUCCCAAAGAGUUUAAUCUUUAUUCAUUCCCUUUCCUGUCUUUUGUUCCUUUUUAUACUUCAGAUAAGAGUGAGCACUCAUAGGAACCUGAUUAUAGUGGCCUCAGAUAAAAUAAUUAGUAUCUGCAGAGACAUUCUGAUCUACUUACUCAUAAAACAAGAACCAUUAUUGAAAAUAAUAAGCAAAGUAUAUUUAGUGAUGUCUCCCAAGUUCAUACCUUUUUGAGCAUUAAAUCUUGUACUUGAUAACUCCCAGAUUUUGCUAACAGCUCAGAAUUUUCCAGUCAAAAAAAAAAAAAAAUUACCAAGUCAACUCCGGACUCCUACUUUAUAUUAACACUCUGAUGUUUAAUAUCCAGUUAAUGUUAAUAUCUCAAACUUAACACAUCCAAAGCUAAACUCAAGGGGCUGGGAAUAUAGCUCAGUGGCAUAAGCGCCUGCCUGGGAAGCGCAAGGUCCUGAGUUCGAUCCCCGGUACCACAGGAAAAACAAACAAAUCUAAACUCACGAUAUUUUCUCCAAAUCUGCUUCUUCCACAGAAUUUCCCCUAUCAGUUAACGGCAAGUCUUUUUUUCCAGUAGUCUGUCCUAUAAAACUUACAGUCUACCUCAGCUCCUUGCUUUCUUUCGUAUUUUCUAUCAGUAAAUUUUGUUGGCUUUGUUUUCACAGUAUAUUCAGAAACCAUUUCUUACCACUUCUGCUUUUUCCCUGGUCUAAACCGCUAUGAUUUCUUGUCAGUAUCAUUUUUCUAGUUUUGUAAUCAGUUUCCCUUUCUUUGACCUUGGUUUCCUUCAUGGUGUUCGACACAGUGGCCAGUGGGUUCCCGCUAACACAGAAGUCAGAUGAUGUCUCUUCUCUGCACAGAACUGUUCAGUGACUUUUUUUUAAAUCUCAAAAUGAAACCAGCAUUUCUAACAGCAUAUGAAAAGCCUUGUGAUCUGUUCUGAUCUGCUUCAUUCUUCCCCAUCGUUUUCAUCAUUCAUUUUUAACUUCAUCUGUUAUUUUCUUGUUAAUGUUCUUCUUCUAGAUUUGCUAUUACCUGAUUAUUUCUGGAACUUCUCGCUUCACUGUCUUCAGUUUAUUUUACCUAGAAUGUUUUUUCCCUAGGUCUGCACAUUUCCUCCAUCAUUUCAGAUACUUGCUUCAAUGACCCAUUCUUAGUGAAAUUGUUCAUCUCCACAGCUCUUUAUUCCUUGCAUUAUUUUGACCCAUACUGUGUUAUCUCACAUGUUGUAUAUUAUUUAGUGUCUUGUCUCAUGCUGUAAUUUCAGAAGAGCAGAAAUGUUUAUCAUUUUGUAGUUGUUACAUUCCCCAGCUCUAAAAAUAGUGCUUGAUAUAUGGAAAAAAAAAGCUGUCUUCCAAAGAGAAAGGACUUUGAAUAUAAUAUUUAUAAUAGGAUGUUCUUUAUAAAUAUUCAUUAAGACUGCCAUUGUGAAUUGUGAAGAUUCAAGUUAUUUCAGAUUGCUUUUCAUAUUAAAACAAUGUUAAUUAGAGCCUGUGGUUUUGCCAGUAUGGUUAAGUGGUUUUUUGUGGAUUUUUUACAUACUUUUUUUCUCUUUAGCUAUUGUUCAUAAUCGUACUUGAUCCAAAUUUAGUAGAGAAUCUCAAUAUUUUGCAGAAUUUGUGAUUAUGUAAAUAAAUGUAUCUGUGGUCAGGUGACAGUUGAACUGAUUUGUAGAACUAUUGUCUGAUAAAUUUGCAUUAGUGAUAAACAGUUAGCAAUAGCCCAAGUGUUUCAUAACUAAGGUGUUUAAAUAAAAUUAAGCCUUUACUAAACUCAAAAAAAGUCACAACCUCUCAAAUAGUACAUAAGUGAAUUAAUUCAAAACAGGAGAAAGUCUUUUUGUAUUUGUUAAAUAGUAAGUUGUGGUUUUUACUGACUCAGACUAGUUUCUUUUUGAGAUUAAAUUAUCUGGUCAAUUGCCUGUUGUUAAGAAUAAGUACAUCAUUGUCUAUACACAGUGUUAAUUAUUGUUAUUUGCCAUUAAACAUUUAAAAGUGUGGGUUGUAUUUUUAUGCUAAUAUUUGAAAAGUAAGGUUUGUAUUUUUAUAUUAAUACAUAAAACUUUUUAUAUUUUUGUUUCUUUAAGUUUAUUAAUUUAUUUUUAUUAGUACAUGUUUGCAAUAUAUAAUUACAUUUAUCUUGGAGAGUUCAUAUAUGUACAUAGCACAUCUUAAUUCUUCCUUUCUUCCUUGCUUUUUUUUUAGGGGGAGGGAGGUCUCCUGCCCCUCCUUCUUCCCUCCAACUCUUAAUCCCUUUCCAUUUGAAAAAGUUCUAUUUCCAUUUUUUCUUUGUUUUUUUUCUGGUACCAGGAAUCAAACUCACUACCUUGCGCUUGCCAGACAGGCACUGUGCCACUGAGCUAAAUCCCCAGCCCCUGAUUUUUUGUUUUAAUCCUUUUUCCUUUCCUUAUUCUUAACAAGAAUUUUAACAGUUCCAGGGGUAAAAGAUCUACAGUACUUGAUGAAACAAAAGCAGCACAGUCUAGUAGAUUCCCAAAUAGUUCCGUUAUAUAUCCUAGUCAGAACUUCUUCUAGUGUGUUUG
Chinchilla lanigera (long-tailed chinchilla) is the source of this 4571-nucleotide long non-coding RNA. Lineage: Eukaryota; Metazoa; Chordata; Mammalia; Rodentia; Chinchillidae. The record is from Ensembl.